GGGCCUGUAGCUCAGUUGGUAGAGCAGCGGACUUUUAAUCCGCGUGUCGAGGGUUCGAUCCCCUCCGGGCCCACCA
Molecule: transfer RNA, 76 nt
Filed under: Dehalococcoidia bacterium
Lineage: Bacteria; Bacillati; Chloroflexota; Dehalococcoidia
Description: tRNA-Lys
Rfam family: tRNA
About the family: Transfer RNA (tRNA) molecules are approximately 80 nucleotides in length. Their secondary structure includes four short double-helical elements and three loops (D, anti-codon, and T loops).
Source: RNAcentral